Molecule: long non-coding RNA, 8258 nt
Filed under: Olea europaea (common olive)
Lineage: Eukaryota; Viridiplantae; Streptophyta; Magnoliopsida; Lamiales; Oleaceae
Description: long non-coding RNA (OEUR_LNC010606)
Source: RNAcentral
UUACAAUUUAUUGAAUGAAAAAUUUCAAUUGAGGUCCAUAAAAGGAGAAAGAGGAAUUACAAUUGGACACUCCAUGAAGGAGAAACAUAACACUCCAUGAAGGAGGAAAAACAUCUUCAUAAGGAGGAUGAUAACACUCCAUAAGGAGGAAGAGAAACUCCAUGAAAGGAGAAAAUGAAACCUCCAUGGAAGGAGGGAUUGGAAUUCCACAUUCCAAUGAAUAUUCAAUGCACACACGUCUGUAUUUAUAGAGAAAUAUGUAGGGUAAUUAACUAACUAACUUGACUACUAACUACUAAACUAAUUUUGACAGCUGGAAGAAUAUUCUGCCUGAACUGGAAUCUGAUUUGGAAUAUUCAUGCUGAUGUGGAAGCUGCUGGAAUCUGGUGCAAUUGCAUUCCAACACACCCCCCUCAAGAUGGACUAGGAGAUCCAUCUUGAAGAUGAAAGAAAAUGAAUCAAGCAUUCAUUGCUAUUUUGCUUGCUGUCAUGGCAGUUCAGGGAAUCAAGCCCAACACAAUCACAUGCCUAUGGAAGAUCAAAGAGGUUCACAGAGAUGGAAUCAACUCUUGUACAAGUGCUUCGGCUACAAGAAUGUGAACCUGAUGCAUGGACCAUAAACUCCACCUUGCAAGCUUUUGGUGGCAGCAGGUAAAGAGUUAAUAUAAUGAAAAGUGCCAGUCAGAGAUCACUUUUUCACAAAUGUUAUCUGUAGAAGAGUUGCUGGACAUUUUUCAAACACCUUGUGUGCACAUCAUUUGGAUCUUCCACAGCACUAAAAAACUCCAUUUCAUGUGAACCAAAGAGAGAGCAUUUCAAUAGAAGAUAUCACCUGCACCAAUAAUUUUUGCGGCAAUACUUCCAAACAAAUCAGCAUCCCAAGCUGCACAGUCUCUAACCAAAUCUGUUAUUACAACAGGAUUACAAAUGCAUGCUCACUCUGAUUUAACAGCUUGAUGAUGUUAGAGAUCCAGAAGAAAAUGAAGAGAAAUUUUACUGUUGAAAUUGGUAAAUUCAGCUCGAUUGGCGAUACUUCGAAGAAGCAUACUAUUACCAGUUACACCUUUGAGCAAUCACUGUUCUUCAACGUCCUUCUAAAAAACCUCUUCAAAUUGAAUGAGAAUGAAGGUAAAUCGAAAUCCAGUGGACUGAAUCUCAAUGAUCAGUUUCAGAAGAGAGAAAACCACAGAGAUAUGAAAAUUCUGGGAAUGACACUUCCAGAAUUGUGUUGAAAUGGAAGAAACCACAGAUCUGCUUUCUUUGAGCAGAAUUCAGGAAAAAUGAGAUGAAUUAAAUCUCAGGAAAGCAGCAGCAGGUAGCAAAUUCUGCUCUGAUACCAUAUUACAAUUUAUUGAAUGAAAAAUUUCAAUUGAGGUCCAUAAAAGGAGAAAGAGGAAUUACAAUUGGACACUCCAUGAAGGAGAAACAUAACACUCCAUGAAGGAGGAAAAACAUCUUCAUAAGGAGGAUGAUAACACUCCAUAAGGAGGAAGAGAAACUCCAUGAAAGGAGAAAAUGAAACCUCCAUGGAAGGAGGGAUUGGAAUUCCACAUUCCAAUGAAUAUUCAAUGCACACACGUCUGUAUUUAUAGAGAAAUAUGUAGGGUAAUUAACUAACUAACUUGACUACUAACUACUAAACUAAUUUUGACAGCUGGAAGAAUAUUCUGCCUGAACUGGAAUCUGAUUUGGAAUAUUCAUGCUGAUGUGGAAGCUGCUGGAAUCUGGUGCAAUUGCAUUCCAACAACCUCAACCUUAGCAGCCGCUCUCCAGAAUCUCCUCCAUCAUAUUUCAAAUCUGCUAUUUGCUCUCCAAUUCUCGACAGAUCGUCCAAAGCAACCUAAAAUCGUGUUUACGUGUUUGUUAUCUUGUGGUUUUCCAUAGUAAUUUUUAUAGAAUUGGGUUAUGAAUUUUAUGUUUAUCUUAUUUGAAUUUAUUUUAUUGGAUCUCUUUUAUCCUUUCGGUGCUCAACUUCUGCGCGUCUUGCUGUUGUUUAGAUUCCUCAUUGUAUUUAAAAAAUUUUGGUUUCUUUCACCGUUUGAUUUUUUAAGUUUUCUUCUUGCUGGUUCGACUCGUGCUUUACACUUUGCUGUUUUUAAGAUUCUUCUAUUUUGCUGUUUUUAGACUUUGAUAGCCAUUAUUGUGUAAAAAUGAUUUUUGGACAAAGUGUGAUUAAAAAGUGAAGAAAAAUUUUAUGUUUAAAUGCAAAAUAUUUUAUAAUGAAAAAUGUGAUUAAAAAUAAGUAUGAGAAAUAAUUAUUUUGUUCUAAGGAAAGUCAAACAAGGGUUUAGAUUUGUUACAAAGUUAAUCGGCUUUCUAUUAUUAAGAGUCUGUUUGGGAGUGAUUUUGAGAAUUAAUUUUCUGACAGUUAGAAAAAAAGUGGGAUUCACCUGUAAGAGAAGAAGUCAAAUAUGAUGGCUGAAAUAGUGAAAUAACGGUUAAAAUAUCAAUUUUUUGGGUGAAAAAAUCGAACCCAAACAGGCCCUAACCGUUCUUGUAAUGACAAAUACCAAUUUCCUCUGUCAAUUAUUAUGUUUUGUUUACUUACCUUCUGUUUGGUUCUACCAAAAAGUUAGCAGUAAAAUUCAAGUUAAAAUCAACAAUGAAUUUAAUCAUAUAUUUUAGAGUCUCUUUGAGCUCCAUUUUUAGAGGAGAAUGUAUUUUGAAAUAGAAAAUUGCUAGAAAAUGUGUAAAAAAAAAAUUAAAAAAAAAUUGAAUUGACGUGUAAUAUUAUUUUAUUAAAAAGAAGGAAAAGAAAAAUAUAUUUUGAAAAUAAUGAGAUCAAACAAGAGCUCAUAAAAUUCACAACUUUUCAAUCAUUCUUUUAUGUAAAUUUAUUAAAAAUUUGAUUUUUAUCUAAACCCAUGGAGGCUUAUUAGCUACUCAAUCCAACCCUCAGAAAUAAAAAAAUUAGAACCAUUCUAAAGUCCAUGUUUACUACAUAAUCUUGAUUCACCUCCACCCUCUCGUUCAAUAAUCCAAUCAGUGGCUGAGCCCAACUUUUCAAAUACUAUUUUCAAUGUCACUGAUGUCAAGCGUUAAUCUAAGUUGUAAAUGCAUAAGAUUAAAUGAUUAGAUUCAUUUAAAUAUAUAUCACAUAAUUUAUUUAAUUGAAUCUAUCAAAUUUAGUCACUCACUAGUAUACUAAGACCACUGGUAUCAGAUAGGAGCAAAGUAUUUUGCAGAAUUAUGAUAUUUGUACACUACCAUUGACAUGCUGGUGUACACGCCUCUUACAAGAGGGAGGGGCUCACGCCCAAUUAAAAAAUGCGUGGACCCUCAUGCUAUUUGUACACUAACAUUGACAUGUUGGUGUAUGCGCCCCUUACAAGGAGGGACUCACGCCCAAUUAAAAAAUGUGUGGACCCUCUUUUACGAGGGAAGUGUACAAUGACAUGUCAAUGGUCUACGUAUAGCAAAUCCCUAUUUUGCAUAUCCGAUACUGAGAAUUGUAAUCGAGACAAACUAUACUAUCACAUCAUCCAAGAAUCCAAGAUAAGAACACACACAUAUAUUUGCAUAUAGGGGUGGAGGAACUGACCAGGAGACCAAACGAGAAGGUGCAGACAACGGACAAAGCAAUAGAAAAGGCGGAGAGUUCAAUAUCUCCGAGAUGCCCAACAAACAUGGUGGCCACGGAGCUAGUUCCAUACUGACACAGAAUUUGAAAGGCUAUUGGUCCGCCUAUUCUCCAUAGUUUCGCAGACUCGACGCAGAACACUUUCCACCAUUGUUUAAACCGUCUUACUGGGAGGUAGUCCCCGUCGUCUCCGAUGAGCUGCAACUCGUCGGGCUUCCUAUCAAGUAGCGGUGCCGCCUCCAUCUCGGGCGGAGGGCCGUGAAGACGGGAGGAGAUGAUUCUAGUAUGUGGCUCCUGUGUCGGGUCUUCUCAAAACCGCAGCUGAAUUUAAGUCUACUGUGAUAAACUAUGAGACAGAAACAUAAAUGUGACAAUAAACUUUGUUGAAAUUCUCGAUCUGAAAAAGUCACUAUUUCAACCUUCAAGCACGUUGAAUGAUUGUGGAAAAAUGAAUAAAGAUUUGGAAAUGAUGUGUUGCAUAAGAUUUGAUUGAAUAGGGUGUGAUGCAACAUUAUUAUAUAUGUUAACCAGUGUCUCAAGUUGAUGCCAACUGAGAAUAAAUAAAAGAAUAUUAAUGGUUGUUGCAUAUUUUAGAGUAAUUGUUCAAAUGGUCACUGAAUUUUGUAGAAGGUUUUCAAGGGGUCUUUGAACUUUAAAAAUCACUAAAAUUUGCAAAAGAUUUUUAUAAGGUCACUGAACUUUAAAAAUCACCUAAAUGAUCAUUGAAUUUUGCAAAGAUUUCUCAUGGGUCACUGAAUUUUGCAAAAGGUUUCCCAAAUUUUUGCAAAGUUCAAUAACCAUUUAGGUAAUUUUUAAAGUUCGGUGGCCCUUUGAAAACUUUUUACAAAGUCCAGUAAUCAUUUCGACAAUUUACUCCAUAUUUUAAAAUUACUUUAAAAUUCACUAGAAUUGUCUUGGAGAGCAAGAAAAUAGAAGUUCCUAAAAUUUCUUGAUGAGCAAACAAAAAUAGUAAUUAAAAAUAAAAAAAAAAUCAGAAUUUUCUAAAAUGUCUUGAGAAACAAGUAAUAAAAUGAUGAAAAAAUCAGAAUAUUCUAGAAUAGUUUCCACCACCAUUUUGUGUAUAUAAAUAGGGGCUACUACCUUCAAAAUGUUGUAACAAAAUAAUUCAAAAGAGCAUCCAAUAUCUUGCAUUGUAAAUCAAAAGCCACUUUGUAAAACUUUAGUAAAAUUACUUUCUUCUUCCUUCAACUAUCUUGUUCAAUUAAAUUACUCAUAUCAUUUCUAUUCUACAGAGAAUCUACUUAACCACUUCUAUCUAAACCCAUUUAUUUCUUCUAAUCAAAAUAAAAACCUUCAGUGGUAUCAGAGUUACAUUCGAUUGAUAUUAGGCGUAAGCACAUACUAUGGCAGAUACUUUCCGUUUAUCCAUUCCUAUUCUAACAUUUAAUGGAUACAACUAUGAUCUUUGGUCCAUCAAAAUGAAGACAUACUUUUGUGCGCAAAAAUUAUGGGAUGUCAUCAAUGAUAAGUAUACUAACCCAUAUGACAUUUUCACUCUAUCUACCGCACAAAAGAAAGAACUUAAAGAGAAUUAACAAAAAGAUUCUCUAGUGCUACUUGGUCUACAAAUGAGCUUGAUGGACACUUAUUUUUCAAGAAUCAUGGUAGCCAAAACGGCAAAAGAAGCUUGGGAUAAAUUGAAGGAGAAGUUUCACGACAAUGACAAGGCACGUACUUGCCAUCUUCAAACUUUAAAAAUAAAUUUUGAAAAUUUAAAAAUGAAAUAUUCUGAAACUCCGAAAGAUGAUUAUUCAAGAAUAGAUGAAAUAAUAUAUCAAUUAAGAUCUUAUGGAGAUAAUGUUCCUCAAAAGAAAGUCUUUGGAAAAAUUUUAAUGACUUGCAUAGAAAAAUAUGAUCCAAUUAUUGCAGCUGUUGAGGAGUCAAAAGAUAUAAAAGAAUUGAGAGCUACAGAAUUAAUGGGUUCAUUAGAAGCACAUGAAAAAUAUUUAGAAAGACGUUAUGAGAUUAAUACGGAAAAUGCAUUUCAAUCGAAAGUUAAUAUGAGGUUUUAGAAAUUUAAAGAAGGUGGGAGAAAAUUUAAGAAAAUUGUAAAAAUAAAGAAACUCAAGGAAAAUAAUUUGAUAAAAGCGGUAAUUAUCCUUCAUGUGCUAUAUGUAAAAGAAAAAAGUCAUUUGGAGAAGGAUUGUUAGUUCAAAGGAAAACCACAGUGUCCUCACUGUAAAAAAUUUGGUCACGAAUAAAAAUUUUAUCGUUUUAAACAAAAUUAUCAAGCUAAUUUCUCCGAAGAAAAUGAUAUAGAAGGAAAUCUAUUUUAUGCCACUAUCAAGGAUGCAUCUGAUGACAAAUUGGAUACGUGACAUCUAGAGAGUGAUUAUAGUAAUCAUAUGACGAAAGAUGAAAGUAUUUUCUGCAAUCUUGAUAAAACCAAGGCAAAAAUCAAGAUUGGUAAUGAAAAUUUCAUAGAGCCAACAUGCAAAUGUACUAAUGCUGUUAAUACAAAAAAGUACAAGAGAUAAUCAAUGAAGUUCUCUUAGUCCCUACAAUAGACCAGAAUUUACUAUGUGCAGUCAUAUGAUGGAGAAAGGAUAUAGUUUACAUUUUGAAAGAAAUUCUUGCACGAUCUCUGAUAAAAAAGAUAAAUAUCUUAUAAUUGCAAAAGUCAAAAAAGGGGAAAACAGAUGUUUUCCAAUUCAAUGGAGAUAUGCAAACAAUGCAGCAAUAACAGCACGAGUAGAUGAGUCAUGGCUGUGGUACAAAAGAUUUGGACAUUUUCCACUUCCACAAGUUGAAGAUCUUGCAGCAAAAGAACAUGAUGAGAGACUUACCAGUUAUAAAAGAGAUUGAUGCAGCCACCUCCAAGGUCAUAAUCUAUUCUUCCCACCACAAUCACCACCAAACAACUCCAAUAAAUUCGUAAGUUGCAGCAUAAGUAAUCACUUAUUUUACUUUUGUCUAGAGCCCCUCACUUAAUUCUAUCCCUCCAACCGCUACAACAAUAGAUCCAUUUCGCCUCCAUCUGGAACAAUGUGAACUUCAUCUGAUAAGCAGCAGCUAGAAAGAUUAUGGUUGUAGGUGCAAUUGUUUCUUCAAUUUCAAUUCAUUCCACCUAAGUAUAGCCAUGAACAACCAAUCUAGCUUUAUCUAUGACAAUAUUUCCAUGCUCAUCAGACUUGUUCCUAAAAAUACAUUUUGUGCUAAUCACAUUUGUAUCUUUAGGCCUGGGACGGAAGACCAUAUCCCAUUCAUCUAAAAUUGUUCUUGUUCUUCCUGCAUUGCAUUUAUCCUUAAUACGUCUUCUAGAGCUUUAUUCACGUUUUAGGCUAAAUUCUUAGGUAUAGCAUUGAUGGUUGAUCUUGUUUAUUAAUCUUCUACGUGUGACCAUACUGUCAUUCGAAUCAUCAAAAACACUAUUUCUUGAAUAAGGUUAAUUGCAUAGCGGACAGUGUUAAUGGCUUUAGACGAAACUUCUAUGGGAACUUACUAUGAAGUAUCAUCCUAACCAUUUCUUGGAAUGCUCUAUUUUUCCUUUAAACAAUUCCAGGUUGUUCGUGUGUUUUAGUGACAAAGUUCAUGUGGCAUACCAUACUCAAUACAAAACUCUGAGAAACUUUGAGUUCUCAAAAUUCCUAGUCAUUGUGUUCCUACCACUUUCACAUCAUAUUUUUCAUUCAUCGGUUUCAACCACAAAAUCUUGAAUCUUUCAAAAAUAUCAUAUUUUUUAUGCAAGAAAUCUAUCAUGGGAAUACCCUACAACCUAAUAAUGAUCACAAAUGUCGAAAAAAGUAUUUCAAAAAAAAAAAAAAAACAAAACAGUGAUUUUUAUGCAUUUAAGCUAAAAUAUGAUCACAGUCUUGAAAUAGCCUCAAUACUGUCAUUAAAAUCAGUAUCUCCAUAACUUCCGACCGUCUCAUCGGAGCUUAACGCCGCCAUGACAUCAGCAAGAACAGUCUUCCUGUUCUCAGCAUACGCUUUUCCAUCCCAAUUCUUCUUCACCAGCUCCAUCCCCAGCCUCGCCGCGGCCUCCACUGUCUCCUCUGCGCUAUCAUGUGCAGAGUCAACAAUUCCCCAUUCCACCCCCAUACCCGCCGUGAUUUUGGCGGCUUUCAAAACUACCUCCCUCCAUACCUUGGGGGACGCAAUUUUACUUUUCACUAUUUGCACAAACCAAGAAGGUAUUUUCAUCCGGAUGUCGAGCUCGCUCAUGUAGAGGAAGCCACGAUCAUUGCGCAUCACGACGUAGUCAUGGCUUAAGGCUAAAACGAAGCCAGCGGCGGAGGCGUGGCCGGUGACUAUUACAAUUUAUUGAAUGAAAAAUUUCAAUUGAGGUCCAUAAAAGGAGAAAGAGGAAUUACAAUUGGACACUCCAUGAAGGAGAAACAUAACACUCCAUGAAGGAGGAAAAACAUCUUCAUAAGGAGGAUGAUAACACUCCAUAAGGAGGAAGAGAAACUCCAUGAAAGGAGAAAAUGAAACCUCCAUGGAAGGAGGGAUUGGAAUUCCACAUUCCAAUGAAUAUUCAAUGCACACACGUCUGUAUUUAUAGAGAAAUAUGUAGGGUAAUUAACUAACUAACUUGACUACUAACUACUAAACUAAUUUUGACAGCUGGAAGAAUAUUCUGCCUGAACUGGAAUCUGAUUUGGAAUAUUCAUGCUGAUGUGGAAGCUGCUGGAAUCUGGUGCAAUUGCAUUCCAAC